Molecule: ribosomal RNA, 253 nt
Filed under: uncultured bacterium
Lineage: Bacteria
Description: partial 16S ribosomal RNA
Rfam family: Bacterial small subunit ribosomal RNA
Source: RNAcentral
UACGUAGGGAGCAAGCGUUGUCCGGAAUCAUUGGGCGUAAAGAGCGCGUAGGCGGCCCUGUAAGUCCGCUCUGAAAGUCAAAGGCUCAACCUUUGAAAGCGGGUGGAUACUGCAGGGCUAGAGUCCGGAAGAGGCGAGUGGAAUUCCUGGUGUAGCGGUGGAAUGCGCAGAUAUCAGGAGGAACACCAACGGCGAAGGCAGCUCGCUGGGACGGUACUGACGCUGAGGCGCGAAAGCGUGGGGAGCAAACAGG